AAGGGGUGCGCCCUGCGGGACGCUGAGAUGAUACCCUCGGAACCUGAUGCGGUUAGUACCGCCGCAGGGAUUGUCGA
This 77-nucleotide non-coding RNA is filed under the name uncultured Duncaniella sp. RNAcentral's name for it is "TPP riboswitch (THI element)". It matches the Rfam family "TPP riboswitch aptamer (THI element)", at positions 10 to 89 of the family's 105-position model. From Rfam's summary of the family: Vitamin B(1) in its active form thiamin pyrophosphate (TPP) is an essential coenzyme that is synthesised by coupling of pyrimidine and thiazole moieties in bacteria. The previously detected thiamin-regulatory element, thi box was extended, resulting in a new, highly conserved RNA secondary structure, the THI element, which is widely distributed in eubacteria and also occurs in some archaea. The record is from RNAcentral. Lineage: Bacteria; Pseudomonadati; Bacteroidota; Bacteroidia; Bacteroidales; Muribaculaceae.